Long non-coding RNA from Cavia porcellus (domestic guinea pig), 1641 nucleotides. RefSeq lists it as uncharacterized. NCBI's taxonomy places the organism in Eukaryota, Metazoa, Chordata, Mammalia, Rodentia, Caviidae. The transcript is spliced from 2 exons. The record is from RefSeq and is a predicted model, not a curated record.
AUCAGACCUUUGGUGUCCAUCUGGCCAAGGCGCAGGAUGUAGAGCGGGCGACCGUCUGUGAGGGUCCAGCAAAGAGAGGGACUUUAUUCAAGGGGAUGCCAGUGACAACGCCAAGUCAAGGCUACAGCACCUGCACUGAUCUCUGCCAUUGGAAAUAAGUCCCUUGCACCCACCUUGCCUUUGUGGGUCUCCUGCAACCAGUGCCGAAGCUGGAUCAGGCAGCUCUCCUGCAUGGGAGUGAGAUGGCCCAGGCACCUCUCGAUGUAGUCUGCAUCCAGCUUGUCCCCUGGGAGGAAGAGAGAGACUUAGGACCAGCGAGAGAUGCCUCACCCCUGACCACAUGGUCUAACCUUUCUGUUGUCCUUGAUUUACUUACUGGCCACUGUGGCUCUUGGAUGUGGUUCCAAGCCAGGCCAUGCCCCUCCCUAUUUUCUCUCCAACCCAUUUCCAAAGAGAUUCUGAAAAUCCAUGAUGCCGGGCCCUCCAAAGUCUCACUGUGGGAAGUGACUUCUCCUCUUUGACCCUCAGAAAAAUAGAGAUGAUCUGACUCUCCUGAGAGGUUCUGAAGAUCUUCACUAGGUGCUCAGGACAUGCCUGCUCUCAGGCUACUCCAGUUUCUUAGGAGAGAGAGUCAUUGUUAUCUCCACUUUGAAGAAUACUGAACCAAAGAGGGAGACUGAGUCCACAGAGUGACGAAGGCAAGGAGUAUGCCCAGCAGAGUGGGUGUGGGUCACAAACACCAGUCCCUUUUGCCUUCCCACCUCCCAAGUUCCCUUUACAGGGAAUGAGGCUUUUGGUACACAGAGCCUGGAUCCCUGUCUGCUUAGGGGUCUGAGAACACAUGGAUCAGCCCCACUGGAAAACCCAAGCUCACGUAAUCCAGCUGUUUGGGGUUAGCCUGUCACAGGCAUGCAGAGGCCAGGGUCUUAUUGCUAACUUCUUUUGUCUGUAUGGGAGAGUGAACCCUAAGCCUUUAUAUCGAGCUAUAUCCCUAGCCCUUUUUUACCUUUUAAGACCCAUCUCACUAACAUGUUAAAUGUCCAGGCUAGGCUCAGACUUGGAAUCCUCCUGCCUCGGCCUCCCAAAGUGCUGGGAUUACAGGCAUACACCACUAUGCCCGUGUUGUGCUGCUGACUCUUAACCACUGGGGUAGCAGAUUCUGGGACCCACUGCCUCCUAGCACCUCAGAAGGAGACAAAGAUGUUACACAAAGUGGCAGUCCCUGUAGGUAGAGCUGCUUCUUUGUGGAUGAUGGCACAAUACGAAAGUAAACUGAAUGUCAGUAUGUCCAACAGCAGUUCCUUUAUUUUUGGUUCCCCCCAAAUAGAGGAACCCAGGGCCAAGGGCCACACCAACUGUUUCAGGAGCCAUCUGGGCAAACUGAGGCAGAGGGAUAUGCAGUGGGGUAAGUGGGACCAGCUGAGUUCAUGUAGUCAAAGACAGAGACUUCAGAGAUGAGGAGAGGCAAGCACAAACCGGAGGCAGGAGCUCCUCAAUCCUUCCGGCCCCGGGCAGAUGUGAGGGCCUUUUCUGUUUAUCAGUACAAAGGCCCAGUGAUCCAAGCGCUUCUGCCAGCCACCCUGAGCACCAGCACAGCUGGCAGACAGCACAGGAGAGAAGGGACAAAAGACACGUGCAAAA